GUGGGGAAUCUUAGACAAUGGGGGAAACCCUGAUCUAGCCAUGCCGCGUGAGCGAUGAAGGCCUUAGGGUUGUAAAGCUCUUUCAGCUGGGAAGAUAAUGACGGUACCAGCAGAAGAAGCCCCGGCUAACUCCGUGCCAGCAGCCGCGGUAAUACGGAGGGGGCUAGCGUUGUUCGGAAUUACUGGGCGUAAAGCGCGCGUAGGCGGACCAGAAAGUUGGAGGUGAAAUCCCAGGGCUCAACCUUGGAACUGCCUUCAUAACUCCUGGUCUGGAGUUCGAGAGAGGUGAGUGGAAUUCCGAGUGUAGAGGUGAAAUGCGUAGAUAUUAGGAGGAACACCAGUGGCGAAGGCGACUUUCUGGACUGUAACUGACGCUGAGGCUCGAAAGCCAGGGGAGCGAACGGGAUUAGAUACCCGGGUAGUCC
Molecule: ribosomal RNA, 425 nt
Filed under: uncultured bacterium
Lineage: Bacteria
Description: partial 16S ribosomal RNA
Rfam family: Bacterial small subunit ribosomal RNA
Source: RNAcentral